AAUAUUCAAAUAUUUAAUGCUCAAAUGCAGCCUGUUAUAAAUAUGUACUACACUACUCAGCCUUAUACUAUACCCACUAUAAGCAUGUGGUUGUUGUU
Molecule: long non-coding RNA, 98 nt
Organism: Etheostoma cragini (Arkansas darter)
Lineage: Eukaryota; Metazoa; Chordata; Actinopteri; Perciformes; Percidae
Exons: 3
Source: RefSeq, a predicted model, not a curated record